AGGAAAAUGCUCAGGAGCUCGAAUCAGACCUCCAUUUCAUCCAAUUCCAAGUAUAUUGAAAGAUACAUUGAUUUGAAAUUUGAGGUUCAUGAUCUGAGUUGCUUCAAUUUGACCUAAAGCAACUCAGUCUUGUUUCCUACAUUGGUAGGACUUCAGACAACCAAUAAUCAAGCAAAAUAGUUGAGAAAUAAGGGAGAAUCGAAG
This 204-nucleotide long non-coding RNA is filed under the name Lathyrus oleraceus (garden pea). RNAcentral's name for it is "Pisum sativum (pea) long non-coding RNA (PSAT_LNC015765)". The record is from RNAcentral. Lineage: Eukaryota; Viridiplantae; Streptophyta; Magnoliopsida; Fabales; Fabaceae.